AACUUCAGAACAGCCUGGACACAUCAGCAGUGAUCGGUCAAGUGCCAACAGUUGAUGAAGGAUCAGCAUCAUCUCGCGGGAUAUUUGGGAGUUAUGUGGCACCCUCUUUGUAUAUUUCAGAGACAACUAGCAGCUUUCCUUCCAACCAAAAUAUUCAUGCUAAAGCUGAUCCAGUUGCAGUUGUCCCAGACCUCACAUCAACCAGGAUACAAACAGUGAAAAGCCCAGUUGCCUGUACUUCCGGGGUUACUCAUCUGCAGCAACGCAACAUUACCACAAAAACUUGUCAGUUCCAGGGAUGUGGAAAAGGAGCAAGAGGCGUUUCUGGACUAUGCAUAGCCCAUGGUGGGGGACGAAGAUGCCAGAGACCUGGCUGUCACAAGGGAGCUGAGGGUAGGACCAUCUUUUGCAAGGCCCAUGGAGGUGGUUGGCGAUGCCAACACCUUGGCUCCACGAAGAGUGCCGAUGAAGGCUGCACUGAUUAUUGCAUUGCUCAUGGCUCAACAACUGCUUGCACCAUGUCUUCGGUGAAGGAGACUGAUGAGGAAUCCUCAGCCGAUCUGGGUUUGAAUUUUCAGCUUCAUCUUGGCGAUGAGAAUAUGCCUAGCCCUAAGAAAUCCUCUGUUGCUGCUCAGGCAUCAGGAAGUGAACUGAUUUAUGACCUCCAGCUAGGUCUAUCAACUGGCCCAUCUGAAUCUGUUAUUACUGGUAUCAGCCCAGUGUCCGAUCAACUUCAGAACAGCCUGGACACAUCAGCAGUGAUUGGUCAAGUGCCAAAAGUUGAUGAAGGAUUAGCAUCAUCUCGCUGGAUAUUUGGGAGUUAUGUGGCACCCUCUUUAUAUAUUUCAGAGACAACUAGCAGCUUUCCUUCCAACCAAAAGAUUCAUGCUAAAGCUGAUCCAGUUGCAGUUGUCCCAGACCUCACAUCAACCAAGAUACAAACAUUGAAAAGCCCAGUUGCCUGUACUUCUGGGGUUACUCAUCUGCAGCAACGCAGCAUUACCACAAAAACUUGUC
Molecule: long non-coding RNA, 1017 nt
Filed under: Elaeis guineensis (African oil palm)
Lineage: Eukaryota; Viridiplantae; Streptophyta; Magnoliopsida; Arecales; Arecaceae
Description: long non-coding RNA (EGUI_LNC000458)
Source: RNAcentral